This is a non-coding RNA of Violaceomyces palustris, 105 nucleotides long. The record is from the annotation of a GenBank genome assembly. Lineage: Eukaryota; Fungi; Basidiomycota; Ustilaginomycetes; Violaceomycetales; Violaceomycetaceae.
UCCCGCUUAACUCAGUGGCAGAGUGCGUCACUAGUAAGCAAACCAGGCUUCCAACAUGAAAAUGUUGUUAUGACGAAGUCAGUCGUUCAAAUCGGCUAGUGGGAA